GCGGAUUAGUGUAGUCGAUCACACGCCGGUCUCAUGUACCGGUAACAGGGGUUUGAAUCCUCUAUCCGCAC
RNAcentral lists this transfer RNA (71 nucleotides) under Usnea subfusca. RNAcentral's name for it is "tRNA-Met". It matches the Rfam family "tRNA". Rfam says of the family: Transfer RNA (tRNA) molecules are approximately 80 nucleotides in length. Their secondary structure includes four short double-helical elements and three loops (D, anti-codon, and T loops). Further hydrogen bonds mediate the characteristic L-shaped molecular structure. tRNAs have two regions of fundamental functional importance: the anti-codon, which is responsible for specific mRNA codon recognition, and the 3' end, to which the tRNAs corresponding amino acid is attached (by aminoacyl-tRNA synthetases). tRNAs cope with the degeneracy of the genetic code in two manners: having more than one tRNA (with a specific anti-codon) for a particular amino acid; and 'wobble' base-pairing, i.e. permitting non-standard base-pairing at the 3rd anti-codon position. The record is from RNAcentral. Lineage: Eukaryota; Fungi; Ascomycota; Lecanoromycetes; Lecanorales; Parmeliaceae.